GACGAACGCUGGCGGCGUGCUUAACACAUGCAAGUCGAGCGGAAAGGCCACUUCGGUGGUACUCGAGCGGCGAACGGGUGAGUAACACGUGAGUAAUCUGCCCCUGGCUUUGGGAUAGCCACAGUAAACGGUGAUUAAUACCGGAUACGACAACUUCUCGCAUGGGAUGGGGGUGGAAAGAUUUUUCGGACAGGGAUGUGCGCGCGGCCUAUCAGCUUGAUGGUGAGGUAAUGGCUCACCAUGGCUUCGACGGGUAGCCGGCCUGAGAGGGUGACCGGUCACACUGGGACUGAGACACGGCCCAGACUCCUACGGGAGGCAGCAGUGGGGAAUAUUGGACAAUGGGCGGAAGCCUGAUCCAGCAACGCCGCGUGAGGGAUGACGGCCUUCGGGUUGUAAACCUCUUUCAGCAGGGACGAAGCGCAAGUGACGGUACCUGCAGAAGAAGCACCGGCCAACUACGUGCCAGCCGCCGCCGUAA
This 481-nucleotide ribosomal RNA is filed under the name uncultured bacterium. Its description in RNAcentral is "partial 16S ribosomal RNA". It matches the Rfam family "Bacterial small subunit ribosomal RNA", at positions 28 to 523 of the family's 1533-position model. The record is from RNAcentral.